AACCCCAUCUCAACGGGUUAUACACUGUAUUUGGCAGAGUAAUUCAUGGCUUUGAAGUGCUUGAUCUCAUGGAGAAGACUCAAACAGGACCAGGUGAUCGACCUCUUGCAGAGAUAAGGAUCAAUAGAGUGACGAUACAUGCUAAUCCACUUGCUGGCUAGUUGCAUCUCAGAAUGUCUGUUUGGGUAGCAUUGUGAUGACUUGUUGGCAUGUUUUUAACAUUAAUUUUGGGAUUGGAUUGAAUACAUAGAGAAAGUGAGACUGCUGAUGCUACCUGUAGUUUAAUGUAAA
RNAcentral lists this unclassified non-coding RNA (291 nucleotides) under Hevea brasiliensis (rubber tree). The record is from RNAcentral. Lineage: Eukaryota; Viridiplantae; Streptophyta; Magnoliopsida; Malpighiales; Euphorbiaceae.